GGAGAGGUGACAGAGCGGCCGAUUGUGCGGCACUGGAAAUGCCGUGUGCCUCCGGGCACCGGGGGUUCGAAUCCCCCCCUCUCCGCCA
Molecule: transfer RNA, 88 nt
Filed under: Puniceicoccales bacterium
Lineage: Bacteria; Pseudomonadati; Verrucomicrobiota; Opitutia; Puniceicoccales
Description: tRNA-Ser
Rfam family: tRNA
About the family: Transfer RNA (tRNA) molecules are approximately 80 nucleotides in length. Their secondary structure includes four short double-helical elements and three loops (D, anti-codon, and T loops).
Source: RNAcentral